This 87-nucleotide transfer RNA is filed under the name Deltaproteobacteria bacterium. RNAcentral describes it as "tRNA-Leu". It matches the Rfam family "tRNA". Rfam says of the family: Transfer RNA (tRNA) molecules are approximately 80 nucleotides in length. Their secondary structure includes four short double-helical elements and three loops (D, anti-codon, and T loops). Lineage: Bacteria; Pseudomonadati; Myxococcota; Myxococcia. The record is from RNAcentral.
GCGAGAGUGGCGGAACUGGCAGACGCACUGGCCUUAGGAGCCAGCGGCCGCAAGGCCUUAGGGGUUCGAGCCCCCUCUCUCGCACCA